UGCCAUGAGCCUGAGGUCUGUGUUAGUUACUUUAUUGCCUUGAUAAAGCACCAGGACCAAAGCAAGUCACAGAAGUAAGCGUUUGUUUGGGCUCAUGGUUCCAGAAGGAUCAGAAGCAAUAGUCAUGGACGCCAGAGCAGCAAGCUGAGUGGUCACCGCUUGAACCAUAAGCACGAAGCAGAGAGAACUGGAAAUGGAGCUCUCAAGUGUGGCCUCACCCACGUUCAGGACAGGCCUUCCUCACUUGGAUAAUCCUCUCCCAGAAGUGCCCUCAUGGAUACACUAGAAGUAUGCUUUA
Mastomys coucha (southern multimammate mouse) is the source of this 298-nucleotide long non-coding RNA. RefSeq lists it as uncharacterized. The transcript has 2 exons. NCBI's taxonomy places the organism in Eukaryota, Metazoa, Chordata, Mammalia, Rodentia, Muridae. The record is from RefSeq and is a predicted model, not a curated record.